RNAcentral lists this ribosomal RNA (565 nucleotides) under uncultured Glomus. Its description in RNAcentral is "SSU rRNA". It matches the Rfam family "Eukaryotic small subunit ribosomal RNA", at positions 546 to 1106 of the family's 1831-position model. The record is from RNAcentral. Lineage: Eukaryota; Fungi; Glomeromycota; Glomeromycetes; Glomerales; Glomeraceae.
AAUUGGAGGGCAAGUCUGGUGCCAGCAGCCGCGGUAAUUCCAGCUCCAAUAGCGUAUAUUAAAGUUGUUGCAGUUAAAAAGCUCGUAGUUGAAUUUCGGGAUUGACACAUCGGUCGUGCCUUAAGGGGUAUGAACUGGUGUAGUCAAUUUCUCACCUUCUGGAGAACCGCGAUGCCCCUAAUUGGGUGUCACGGGGAACCAGGACCUUUACUUUGAAAAAAUUAGAGUGUUUAAAGCAGGCAUUUUGCUUGAAUACAUUAGCAUGGAAUAAUAAAAUAGGACGGCAUGAUUCUAUUUUGUUGGUUUCUAGGAUCACCGUAAUGAUUAAUAGGGAUAGUUGGGGGCAUUAGUAUUCAAUUGUCAGAGGUGAAAUUCUUGGAUUUAUUGAAGACUAACUACUGCGAAAGCAUUUGCCAAGGAUGUUUUCAUUAAUCAAGAACGAAAGUUAGGGGAUCGAAGACGAUCAGAUACCGUCGUAGUCUUAACCAUAAACUAUGCCGACUAGGAAUCAGACGAUGUUAAUUUUUUAAUGACUCGUUUGGCACCUUACGGGAAACCAAAGUGU